UACAGAGGUCUCAAGCGUUGUUCGGAUUUACUGGGCGUAAAGGGCGCGUAGGCGGCGCGGUAAGUCACUUGUGAAAUCUCUGAGCUUAACUCAGAACGGCCAAGUGAUACUGCAGUGCUAGAGUGCAGAAAGGGCAAUCGGAAUUCUUGGUGUAGCGGUGAAAUGCGUAGAUAUCAAGAGGAACACCUGAGGCGAAGGCGGGUUGCUAGGCUGACACUGACGCUGAGGCGCGAAAGCCAGGGGAGCAAACGGG
This 253-nucleotide ribosomal RNA is filed under the name uncultured bacterium. Its description in RNAcentral is "partial 16S ribosomal RNA". It matches the Rfam family "Bacterial small subunit ribosomal RNA", at positions 524 to 776 of the family's 1533-position model. The record is from RNAcentral.